Non-coding RNA from Salmo salar (Atlantic salmon), 54 nucleotides. NCBI's taxonomy places the organism in Eukaryota, Metazoa, Chordata, Actinopteri, Salmoniformes, Salmonidae. The record is from Rfam.
ACUUGUCUCGUUUGUAAGUCGCUCUGGAUAAGAGCGUCUGCUAAAUGACUUAAA